GGUGUACUCCCUCCAUUUAACAAAAGAUGUCUCAAGUUUGUCAAAAUUUGGAUGUAUCUAGACAUGACUUAGUGUAUAGAUGCAUUCAAAUUUUAGUCAAAAUUGAGACAUCCUUUGACGGAGGAAGUAUCAU
Molecule: non-coding RNA, 133 nt
Organism: Brachypodium distachyon (stiff brome)
Lineage: Eukaryota; Viridiplantae; Streptophyta; Magnoliopsida; Poales; Poaceae
Source: Rfam